RNAcentral lists this ribosomal RNA (253 nucleotides) under uncultured bacterium. RNAcentral describes it as "partial 16S ribosomal RNA". It matches the Rfam family "Bacterial small subunit ribosomal RNA", at positions 524 to 776 of the family's 1533-position model. The record is from RNAcentral.
UACGAAGGUGGCGAAUGUUGCUCGGAUUCACUGGGCGUAAAGCGUCGGUAGGUGGCUUGUUAAGUUAGAGGUGAAAGCCCCGCGCUCAACGUGGGAAUUGCCUUUAAAACUGACAAGCUCGAGAGUACCAGAGGAUGGCGGAAUAUCCGGUGUAGAGGUAAAAUUCAUAGAUAUCGGAUGGAACACCCAUGGCGAAGGCAGCUAUCUGGGGUAUUUCUGACACUGAGCGACGACAGCGUGGGGAGCAAACAGG